CCGGCGCACGGGUGAGUAACACGUAUGCAAUCCACCUGUAACAGGGGGAUAACCCGGAGAAAUCCGGACUAAUACCCCAUAAUAUGGGCGCUCCGCAUGGAGAGCCCAUUAAAGAGAGCAAUUUUGGUUACAGACGAGCAUGCGCUCCAUUAGCCAGUUGGCGGGGUAACGGCCCACCAAAACAACGAUGGAUAGGGGUUCUGAGAGGAAGGUCCCCCACAUUGGAACUGAGACACGGUCCAA
This 243-nucleotide ribosomal RNA is filed under the name uncultured bacterium. RNAcentral describes it as "partial 16S ribosomal RNA". It matches the Rfam family "Bacterial small subunit ribosomal RNA", at positions 95 to 334 of the family's 1533-position model. The record is from RNAcentral.